RNAcentral lists this ribosomal RNA (322 nucleotides) under uncultured eukaryote. RNAcentral describes it as "partial 18S ribosomal RNA". It matches the Rfam family "Eukaryotic small subunit ribosomal RNA", at positions 1470 to 1796 of the family's 1831-position model. The record is from RNAcentral.
CCCUUAGAUGUUCUGGGCCGCACGCGUGCUACACUGAGUGGAUCAGCGGGUCAGGUUACGCGAGAGCGUUUCCUAAUCUUCAAAUCCGCUCGUGAUGGGGAUUGACGGUUGCAAUUUUCCGUCAUGAACGAGGAAUACCUUGUAAGCGCGGGUCAUCAUCCCGCGCUGAAUACGUCCCUGCCCUUUGUACACACCGCCCGUCGCUCCUACCGAUUGAGUGGUCCGGUGAGGCUUUGGGAUCUAAGCGAAAAGAGCGUUUCGCUCCUUUUGCUGGGAGAACUCAGUCGAACCUUAUCGUUUAGAGGAAGGAGAAGUCGUAACA